RNAcentral lists this long non-coding RNA (1955 nucleotides) under Homo sapiens (human). RNAcentral's name for it is "HSALNT0302535". The record is from RNAcentral. Lineage: Eukaryota; Metazoa; Chordata; Mammalia; Primates; Hominidae.
CGCGGUCGCCCCAGCCGCCCGGCAGCCGCCGACCCCCGGCCGGGCCCUGGACUCGCCGCGGUAGUGCCUUCCCAAACAGAGCUGCUGGAAUUACAAUCUUUUGUUGAGCCUCAUGUAACGGAAAAGUCUCCGAUUACUAUCACUUGAAAAGGCUAGCGCGCCCACGGGACGGCCUGGAGAGUGAAGAGCCCCAAGGGUCCCGGGCCCGCGCGGCUCAUUCACUCUCUAGCGUCUGCUGAGGUAACGCGGCCCGCACCUGGGCGCGCGCGACUGCCCCAGUGCGCUGGCGCCAACCACGCGGCGGCGGCCCGGCGAGCCACCGGGAAGAAGUCAGACAAAGUCACUCUCAGGGCGCUGUGCAGCGCCACAGCCAGGGGAGGUGUAAGUUCGGGCUCAGUGAAGAAUCUCGGCUGACUUACGCUGCCAUCAGGGGAUAUGAAGGCGGUGGUUUCCUGGAAUAACACGGGCCUAUGAUAGGAAUUCGACGCAAGGAAGAUUUAUGGGAGCACCGAUUUGCAAGGCAUUGUGGGAAAAAGGUACACAGGCAGACAACAAAUUACACUUUUGGCAUUUCCAGUUUGGAGCCCUACAGCAAUACUCACUGAAGAAGGUUGCACAUAAUAUGAUGGCAGUAGAGCUGGGACGAACGUAGCCACACUCAAUCCUGUGAAGCCAACACUGAAUGAACCAGGCAGAGUGAACACAUGCAAGUAUUAGAAAGGUUUGGACACUGGGGAAGGGUUUAAUAACCCCACGGGGAUAAGAAGUAAGAAAUGGGAAUCCAUUUGGUGUGAUGGGACCAGGGAAGAAUAAGACAGAUCCCUGAUGGCCCAUCUGACCACCUCCAGUUCAGAAGUGGGGAGGAGGUAAAGGAAGGCCAGAGGUAUUCAUUCUUUAUUUCUUCAGUGUUUACUGUUCUGUAUUUACAGUAUUUAAUGUGUGCAAGGCACACUGCCAGGUGUUUUAGAAGAUUCAGAAGUGACCAGGAGUGUUGCUAGCCAAAGGAAAUGGGACAAAUGUGCAAACAGUAAAGUACCAAAAGAAUAUAGUAAGGGCCAGGGGAGGACAGCUCUAAGAAUUCAGAGGACAAGGAGGACACAUCUGCCUUUUGGAGAAAGCUGUCUCAACAAAGAGGAACAGAGCACUAAAGCUAAAUAACCCCCAUGAAGGACCAACCCUCUUCCGGAAAAAAGGCUUAAAUUACACAUCAGUUAAAACGACGACAACAUUCUCCUCCACUUGUGCUCUACAGUGAGGGGCAGAUGAAUGGCCUUUGGCUGUUGCAGCAAAAUAGAGGCAGUCCCCAAAUGAAGAGCAAUUGUAUUCCUUUAAUUCAGUCAUAAAUCAACUCUCAAUUCUAUGAGAUUUUUCACAGAAGAACGGAGCGCCUCAAAAGUGGAUCAAGGCAGAAAUGGAUGUGGAAAUUAUCAUCCUGUACCUUUGAGGUAAAGAGGCUUCUACAGCUCUGGCAUGAGCUACCACAGGUCAUAACCAUUAGGAAAGAAACUGGAAUGUUACCAUGCCAGGCUUUGUGAAUAAACUAAAGUUUUGCUGGUGGUGGCACAGGAAAAAAAUGAAGAAACCAAGAGGACUUGAACCAAGUGGGUAUGACUCCAAAGCCCAUGCUUUAAAUGAACAAAUUGGCCUACCCUCUAAGGCAAGAACCCUUUAAUAGUGGUCUAUGUCAGAAAAAUAUCAAAAAGACUCAAGGCUCUUAAAUAAAUAAGGAAAUGAAUGACCUGCAUCAAAGUCUAAUUACGCCUAGGCCAGUUACCCACCCAGCCAGGUCUCCUUGUACAUACACAAUGGGGGUGAUAUUGCCCCCACAAGGAAUGAAAAUUCAUUUUGGGGAUGAGGCAAAAAAUUGUAUUCUUUUUCAUAUUAGCAUAGAUAUAUAAUGUAUCUAUGGCAUGAAAAUUUCAUGGGUGGGCAAUUAGGAGGAAAAAAAGGGUCAC